UACAGAGGGUGCGAGCGUUAAUCGGAGUUACUGGGCGUAAAGGGCGCGUAGGUGGUUUAUUAAGAUGGAUGUGAAAUCCCUGGGCUUAACCUAGGAACUGCAUUCAUGACUGGUAAACUGGAGUACAGUAGAGGGUAGUGGAAUUUCCGGUGUAGCGGUGAAAUGCGUAGAUAUGCGGAGGAACACCGAUGGCGAAGGCAAUCCCCUGGGCCUGCAUUGACGCUCAUGCACGAAAGCGUGGGGAGCAAACAGG
RNAcentral lists this ribosomal RNA (253 nucleotides) under uncultured bacterium. RNAcentral describes it as "partial 16S ribosomal RNA". It matches the Rfam family "Bacterial small subunit ribosomal RNA", at positions 524 to 776 of the family's 1533-position model. The record is from RNAcentral.